This 307-nucleotide ribosomal RNA is filed under the name uncultured bacterium. RNAcentral describes it as "bacterial SSU rRNA". It matches the Rfam family "Bacterial small subunit ribosomal RNA", at positions 28 to 326 of the family's 1533-position model. The record is from RNAcentral.
GAUGAACGCUGGCGGCGUGCUUAACACAUGCAAGUCGAACGAAGAUGCCGGAGUGCUUGCACUUUGGCAGACUGAGUGGCGGACGGGUGAGUAACGCGUGGGUAACCUGCCUUAUACAGGGGGAUAACAGUUGGAAACGACUGCUAAUACCGCAUAAGCGCACAGUACCGCAUGGUACAGUGUGAAAAACUCCGGUGGUGUGAGAUGGACCCGCGUCUGAUUAGCUAGUUGGCAGGGCAACGGCCUACCAAGGCGACGAUCAGUAGCCGGCCUGAGAGGGUGAACGGGCCACAUUGGGACUGAGACA